GUAGAGAACGUGAAGUUGUCGUCGGAAAUACUGGUGCUUUCUUGACGGAAGGUGGCGCUGGCCAGGCGACGGCCGGUUUGGAGCAAGACCAUUGCAUCGUCCAUGAGGCCCAGGUGAUAACAGGCGUGACCAAGCAGUAAAUACCUCCAAUGCCCCUCCUCCUCGCUGCUCCGGCAGAGUCCGGCGAGCACCUUCCGCUUCAGAUCAGCAACGGAGAAGCACCGGAAUCCUCGAUCGCCGUCGGAUCUCUCCUCACCGUCCGGCAGCAGCUUUGCGCGAUGAGCAUCGGAUCCAUCAGACGAUGUCGAUGUAAAUGAAUCGCUCUCAUCCGACCCAGCCGUCCCCGCCCGGUAGCUGGGUAUGUACUCCCUCAACAUCUCCGCGACCUCCCGCCACCGCCGGAGAAACAGCAAACAUCUCGCCUUCAGCUCCAGCGCCG
This 439-nucleotide unclassified non-coding RNA is filed under the name Hevea brasiliensis (rubber tree). Lineage: Eukaryota; Viridiplantae; Streptophyta; Magnoliopsida; Malpighiales; Euphorbiaceae. The record is from RNAcentral.